RNAcentral lists this ribosomal RNA (483 nucleotides) under Cryptosporidium sp. vole genotype III. RNAcentral describes it as "SSU rRNA". It matches the Rfam family "Eukaryotic small subunit ribosomal RNA", at positions 514 to 1024 of the family's 1831-position model. The record is from RNAcentral. Lineage: Eukaryota; Apicomplexa; Conoidasida; Eucoccidiorida; Cryptosporidiidae.
AUGAGUUAAGUAUAAACCCCUUUACAAGUAUCAAUUGGAGGGCAAGUCUGGUGCCAGCAGCCGCGGUAAUUCCAGCUCCAAUAGCGUAUAUUAAAGUUGUUGCAGUUAAAAAGCUCGUAGUUGGAUUUCUGUUAAUAAUUUAUAUAUAAUAUUUUAACGAUAUUUAUAUAAUAUUAACAUAAUUCACAUUACUAUUAUUAUUAGUAUGUGAAAUUUUACUUUGAGAAAAUUAGAGUGCUUAAAGCAGGCAUUUGCCUUGAAUACUCCAGCAUGGAAUAAUACAAAAGAUUUUUAUCUUUUUUAUUGGUUCUAAGAUAAAAAUAAUGAUUAAUAGGGACAGUUGGGGGCAUUUGUAUUUAACAGUCAGAGGUGAAAUUCUUAGAUUUGUUAAAGACAAACUAAUGCGAAAGCAUUUGCCAAGGAUGUUUUCAUUAAUCAAGAACGAAAGUUAGGGGAUCGAAGACGAUCAGAUACCGUCGUAGU